GGAGAGGUGGCUGAGUGGCUUAAAGCGCUCCCCUGCUAAGGGAGUAUACCGUCAACACGGUAUCGAGGGUUCGAAUCCCUCCCUCUCCG
This 89-nucleotide transfer RNA is filed under the name Balneolaceae bacterium. RNAcentral's name for it is "tRNA-Ser". It matches the Rfam family "tRNA". From Rfam's summary of the family: Transfer RNA (tRNA) molecules are approximately 80 nucleotides in length. The record is from RNAcentral. Lineage: Bacteria; Pseudomonadati; Balneolota; Balneolia; Balneolales; Balneolaceae.